Molecule: ribosomal RNA, 201 nt
Filed under: Enterococcus sp. enrichment culture clone AVCTGRB16B
Lineage: Bacteria; Bacillati; Bacillota; Bacilli; Lactobacillales; Enterococcaceae
Description: partial 16S ribosomal RNA
Rfam family: Bacterial small subunit ribosomal RNA
Source: RNAcentral
ACGGACUCCUACGGGAGGCAGCAGUAGGGAAUCUUCGGCAAUGGACGAAAGUCUGACCGAGCAACGCCGCGUGAGAGUAGAAGGUUUCGUGAUCGUAACAAUCUGUUGUUAGAGAAGAACAAGGACGUUAGUAACUGAACGUCCCCUGACGGUAUCUAACCAGAAAGCCACGGCUAACUACGUGCCAGCAGCCGCGGUAAU